CCUACGGGAGGCAGCAGUGAGGAAUAUUGGUCAAUGGACGAGAGUCUGAACCAGCCAAGUAGCGUGAAGGAUGACUGCCCUAUGGGUUGUAAACUUCUUUUAUAUGGGAAUAAAACGUUCCACGUGUGGGAUUUUGUAUGUACCAUCUGAAUAAGGAUCGGCUAACUCCGUGCCAGCAGCCGCGGUAAUACGGAGGAUCCGAGCGUUAUCCGGAUUUAUUGGGUUUAAAGGGAGCGUAGGUGGAUUGUUAAGUCAGUUGUGAAAGUUUGCGGUUCAACCGUAAAAUUGCAGUUGAAACUGGCAGUCUUGAGUACAGUAGAGGUGGGCGGGAUUCGUGGUGUAGCGGUGAAAUGCUUAGAUAUCACGAAGAACUCCGAUUGCGAAGGCAGUUCACUGGACUGCAACUGACACGGAGGCUCGAAAGUGUGGGUAUCAAACAGGAUUAGAUACCCUUGUAGUC
This 460-nucleotide ribosomal RNA is filed under the name uncultured bacterium. RNAcentral's name for it is "partial 16S ribosomal RNA". It matches the Rfam family "Bacterial small subunit ribosomal RNA", at positions 338 to 795 of the family's 1533-position model. The record is from RNAcentral.